GGUCCCAUCGUCUAGUGGUCUAGGAUAUCGGCCUCUCACGCCGAAGACACGGGUUCGAGUCCCGUUGGGACUGCCA
Molecule: transfer RNA, 76 nt
Filed under: Desulfocarbo indianensis
Lineage: Bacteria; Pseudomonadati; Thermodesulfobacteriota; Desulfarculia; Desulfarculales; Desulfarculaceae
Also listed under: 9 other names
Description: tRNA-Glu
Rfam family: tRNA
About the family: Transfer RNA (tRNA) molecules are approximately 80 nucleotides in length.
Source: RNAcentral